Molecule: ribosomal RNA, 499 nt
Filed under: uncultured bacterium
Lineage: Bacteria
Description: partial 16S ribosomal RNA
Rfam family: Bacterial small subunit ribosomal RNA
Source: RNAcentral
AUUGAACGCUGGCGGCAUGCCUUACACAUGCAAGUCGAACGGCAGCACGGGAGCAAUCCUGGUGGCGAGUGGCGAACGGGUGAGUAAUAUAUCGGAACGUACCUUAUUGUGGGGGAUAACGCAGCGAAAGCUGUGCUAAUACCGCAUAAUCCCUAAGGGGGAAAGCGGGGGACCGUAAGGCCUCGCGCAAUUAGAGCGGCCGAUACCUGAUUAGCUAGUUGGUGAGGUAAAGGCUCACCAAGGCAACGAUCAGUAGCUGGUCUGAGAGGACGAUCAGCCACACUGGGACUGAGACACGGCCCAGACUCCUGCGGGAGGCAGCAGUGGGGAAUUUUGGACAAUGGGGGCAACCCUGAUCCAGCAAUGCCGCGUGAGUGAAGAAGGCCUUCGGGUUGUAAAGCUCUUUUGUCAGGGAAGAAACAGCAGCUCUAACACAGUUUGCGAAUGACGGUACCUGAAGAAUAAGCACCGGCUAACUACGCGCCAGCCGCCGCCGUAA